AACGAACGCUGGCGGCAUGCCUAACACAUGCAAGUCGAACGAGGCCUUCGGGUCUAGUGGCGCACGGGUGCGUAACGCGUGGGAACCUGCCCUUAGGUUCGGAAUAACUCCCCGAAAGGGGUGCUAAUACCGGAUAAUGUCUUCGGACCAAAGAUUUAUCGCCUUUGGAUGGGCCCGCGUUGGAUUAGCUAGUUGGUAGGGUAAAAGCCUACCAAGGCGACGAUCCAUAGCUGGUCUGAGAGGAUGAUCAGCCACACUGGGACUGAGACACGGCCCAGACUCCUACGGGAGACAGCAGUGGGGAAUAUUGGACAAUGGGCGAAAGCCUGAUCCAGCAAUGCCGCGUGAGUGAUGAAGGCCUUAGGGUUGUAAAGCUCUUUUACCCGGGAUGAUAAUGACAGUACCGGGAGAAUAAGCUCCGGCUAACUCCGUG
RNAcentral lists this ribosomal RNA (433 nucleotides) under uncultured bacterium. RNAcentral's name for it is "partial 16S ribosomal RNA". It matches the Rfam family "Bacterial small subunit ribosomal RNA", at positions 29 to 507 of the family's 1533-position model. The record is from RNAcentral.